RNA transcript from Taeniopygia guttata (zebra finch), 3927 nucleotides. It is a transcript of the gene named purinergic receptor P2Y2, with no coding region annotated. The record is from RefSeq and is a predicted model, not a curated record. Lineage: Eukaryota; Metazoa; Chordata; Aves; Passeriformes; Estrildidae.
CAGCCCCGCGCCCGCCCCGGCCCGGCUCACACGCGGCGGCGGCACCGGCACCGGCAGCGGCACCGGGCCGGGGCAAGGACCAAAGCCGGGCAUGGCACAGCCUCCGCCGCCCUCCUGAGCGCGGCGAUCGGCGCUGAACCCCCGGCUCGGCAUCGCCCGGGUGAUGGAGAACCUCACAGCUCCUCCAGCCUGGACCAGGGUCAUCAACAGCUCCUUGGACCCAGGUGGCACAGAUGACAACCCCUACAAGUGCGUGUUUGACGAGGACUUCAAAUACGUCCUGCUGCCCGUCUCCUACGGCAUCGUGUGUGUGGUGGGGCUCUUUCUCAACCUGCUGGCCCUCUACGCCUUCAUCUUCAGGAUCAAGACCUGGAACGCCUCCACCACCUACAUGUUCAACCUGGCCAUAAGCGACACGCUCUACGUGGUGUCCCUGCCCCUCCUGGUGUACUACUAUGCCAUGGGGGACAACUGGCCCUUCAGUGUGGGGCUGUGCAAGAUCGUGCGCUUCCUGUUCUACACCAACCUCUACUGCAGCAUCCUCUUCCUGCUCUGCAUCAGCGUCCAUCGCUUCCUGGGCAUCUGCUUCCCUCUCAAGUCGCUGCAGUGGGGCCACGUGCGCCACGCGCGCAGGGUGUCAGUCGUGGUGUGGCUGGUGACCGUGGUGUGCCAGGCCCCCGUGCUCUUCUUCGUCACCACCAGCACCAAGGGCGACACCAUCACCUGCCACGACACAUCCAGCAAGGACCUCUUCGGCCAGUUUGUCAUUUACAGCUCGGUCAUGCUGGUGCUGCUCUUCUGCAUCCCUUUCCUCAUCAUCAUCAUCUGCUACUGCCUGAUGGCCCGGCGGCUGCUCCAGCCCACCCGGGGCAUUUCCCGCCUCUCCCGCUCCAAAAAGAAGUCAGUGAAGAUGAUCAUCAUCGUCCUGGUGGUCUUCAUUGUUUGUUUUCUUCCUUUCCAUGUCACUCGCACCUUGUACUACUCCUUCCGGAGCUGGGACCUGAGCUGCCAGACCCUCAAUGCCAUCAAUUUGGCCUACAAAGUGACUCGUCCCCUCGCCAGUACCAACAGCUGCUUGGAUCCCAUUUUGUAUUUCUUAGCAGGGCAACGAUUUAUGAAGUUUGCGGGCAACAAAGUGCCGUGGAAACCUCAGAAUGAGGUGGCGCUGGGCAUCGUGCCCAACAGUCACCUGGGAACCAGCAGCGACACGGACACGCUCUCCAAGGAUCUGAAAUCCUAGCUCUGCUCCGCAGCAGAAGGGCUUAUCCUGGGUGUGAAGUGGGGACAGGAUGCUCUGGGGCCCGAGGCUUUGGGUGUUUGAGGUGCCCGGGCUUGCACCCGCUCCAGCGUGGUCUGUGUCGAACGCGCUUCUCUGCUUGUUUUGCUGUACUUUUUUCAGGAAGAUGCAGCUCUGGUUGCACAUGUGAACCCUGAUCUCUGUCUCUGCAUCCCAGCCUGCCCCUCUGAUCAACACUGAGCUGACCAAAUGUGGGGAAAAAAAUCAUGCCCUGAGUGCCUUGAGUCAUUUUCCAAAGCAAGAACGCCGUGCGCAAAAGGUCCCCCUACAGAAUUCCAUCUGCAAAUUGCCUGGCACAGGGAGAGCCGGAAUUCCUCUGUGCCUUGGCAAGGCAGGAAGGGCUUUGGGUGGACGAGGAGAGUCAGCUGCAGUUCUGCUGAGCAGCUUGAUGCAAAUGUCAAGGACAAGUAUCACCCACAGUGGGAAAGAGUCUCCCACAGCCUUGCAUCCCUGCAGAAAUGCUCUCCCAGCUUCAAGCUGGCAGAGCAGGGAUGGGAUUCCCAGCUCCUGUCCAAGGGCUGCCUUCCCAUUAACCUGAUGGACAUUCCAUCCCACUGGAGUGCACUGGUAGAGCCCACUGGAGUUUACUGGUAUCGUCGAGCAGGUCCCCUGUAGGUUUCUCCAAUGGGGCCAACAUCUUCCAAAAAACCCAUUAGUGCUUCCCAACAGCAGCAGUCACCCUUUAAAAAGCUUUUAGGAACCUGCAGCUUCCAGCUGCUGGCUUUAAUAAUCAUCUCCAGCUCAUUAAAAUUUAAGCCACUCAGAAGCCACCAAACCAAGAUGUUGGAAACCUCUAGUUCUCAGAGGCUCCUCACCUUCCCCUGCAGACACCAGGAGAAGCCUAACCACAGUCCCCAUGAAAAAAUACAUUUGGUUCCAAUUAAUUUUCAUUUGAUUUGCAAUUUAUCUUGGUCCCCAGCUUGGCUUUCACUGGGCCUUUCUGUCUAAGUGAAACAAGGCUCAGGACACACUCAGCUCCAUGGAUGUGUUAAUUCCAAACUGUGGCCAAAUCACCCUGCAGUCUGCUCAGGAAUAAUCUGGGCAGCUCAAAGAGGAACUUCCAGGGGAUAUGGAUGAUGUCUGCAAAUGUAAUUUCAUGGAAACCCACUGCUCUGUGCAUCCCUGGAAGUGUUCAAGGCCAGGCUGGACAGGGCAGGGGCAAGGUGUCUCUGCCCAUGGCAGAGGGGUUAGAAUGAGAUGAUCUGUAAGGUCCUUUCCAACCCAAACCUUCUGUGAUUCCAUGACCCUAUGAUUCUAUUAAUUCCUUCACUUUUCAUCCUGAAGCUGUUUUCAAAUCAGGAAAUAUACUUGGUGUCCCAACAAUGACUUUAAGGGGCAGCCACAGUCACUCAUCACUCUCCUGUGGGACAGAAGCCCUUCAUGGUCCCCUGCACCAGGGCAGAAAGCUUUGCUUUGCUUACUCUUUCCAAGAACUUUGCAGCCCUUAGAGCUGCCAGAACACAAAUUCUCAAAAGCAUAAAGCCAGAGAAAUAGCUGUGAGCCCCAGAAUUGCUAAAUUAGCUAUCCCAGGAUGCACCCUCUGAAAAGCCCCUCCUGAUUUUCAGCCCAGGUUUUGGGGGUCUCUCUCUGGGGGCAAUGCCCAAGGACCAAGGGCUCACACAUGAAUAGGUUUUACUUCUGGGAUUUAGAGCGUAAUUCCCAAAUCUUUACUGCAAUGACUCUGCACAGCUCAUACCAGCACUGAGUCACCCAAACCCAAGAAUGAGAAUUAAGGAAGAAAAACAACCACUCUGGGGAGCACAGAGGAUGUGCAGAGGAGCGAGCAGAAAAAAGCCACCCAACCACGCCAAGUGGUUACAAACCACUUCUUUCCUAAAUUUCCCCUUAGCACAGGGAGCAGGAAGCGAAAGUUAAGAGCAUUGAUGGUUUCCUGCCGAGGAAACAAAUCUGCCACAUGGGCUGGAGGGAUGCACACUUCUGCUGGACCUUUCCAGCAUCCAAGUGGAGAGCUUUUCCUUCCUGAUCAUGCCUUCCUAGGAAGUCGGCCCUUAAUGGGACAGUGACAGGCAACAGGCCAUGUUGUUACUGUAAACCCUUGGUGCAUCCACCUUUUUCCAAGUUCUGUCUCAAUUUCUUUUCUGGUUUUCUGCCUUGGGGGCUGGAUUAUCCAGAGGAACAAGUCUGUCUGCCCCUCCAAGUCAUUCCUGAUCUGGUUGGCCAGUUUGAUUCAGGGACAAAGUUGCCACACUGUUGAGCUCCUACAAAAUUUCAUGGGAAAUUGUGAUGUGAAGGAGAAUGAGCCAAAGCAAUUGUCACCCAACAGCUCAAAAUCUGUUUUAGACACCAGAAAAACCUCCCCUGUGCCAGAACCUGUGGUGGUUUGGAGAGUGAUGUGUGAGGGAAGGUGAGAGGCCCAAAGGCCACCCAGCAGGCCAAAGCUGUGUUCAAACACGGGGCAAUUCACAAAUCCCAUAAACCAAUAUUAUUGCAGAAAUUUCCCCAGUAUGGAUGGGCCAAAGCAGCAGUUGCUCAGGGAGAGACCAAGCCAGUGGGUGUUUCAAAUAACACGUCAAUCACCCAGCUUUGUAAGGAGUUUAUUUGAAGACUUUCACAGCUUCAAUACCAAUAUUUGCAGACUCUGACAAAUAAAUGUGCAUGAAAACCUGAAA